This 493-nucleotide ribosomal RNA is filed under the name uncultured bacterium. Its description in RNAcentral is "partial 16S ribosomal RNA". It matches the Rfam family "Bacterial small subunit ribosomal RNA", at positions 29 to 507 of the family's 1533-position model. The record is from RNAcentral.
ACGAACGCUGGCGGCGUGCUUAACACAUGCAAGUCGAACGGUGAAGCGCCUUCCUUUUUGGUGGGUGUGGAUGAGUGGCGAACGGGUGAGUAACACGUGAGUAACCUGCCCCCUUCUUCUGGAUAACCGCAUGAAAGUGUGGCUAAUACGGGAUAUUCUGGGUCUGUCGCAUGAUGGGUCUGGGAAAGAUAUUGUUUCGGUGGGGGAUGGGCUCGCGGCCUAUCAGCUUGUUGGUGGGGUGAUGGCCUACCAAGGCGGUGACGGGUAGCCGGCCUGAGAGGGUGGACGGUCACACUGGGACUGAGACACGGCCCAGACUCCUACGGGAGGCAGCAGUGGGGAAUAUUGCACAAUGGGCGCAGGCCUGAUGCAGCGACGCCGCGUGAGGGAUGGAGGCCUUCGGGUUGUGAACCUCUUUCGCCAGUGAAGCAGGCCUGCCUCGUUUGUGGGUGGGUUGACGGUAGCUGGAGAAGAAGCGCCGGCUAACUACGUG